UACGGGGAAUCAGGGUUCGAUUCCGGAGAGGGAGCCUGAGAAACGGCUACCACAUCCAAGGAAGGCAGCAGGCGCGCAAAUUACCCAAUCCAAACACUGGGAGGUAGUGACGAGAAAUACUGGGGACGCUCCUAGAGAACGUCGUCCGGAAUGAACGUAACAUAAAAAAUUCGAUGAGGAUCUACUGGAGGGCAAGUCUGGUGCCAGCAGCCGCGGUAAUUCCAGCUCCAGUAGUGUAUAUCAACAUUGUUGCGCUUAAAACGCUCGUAGUUGGAUUACAGGACUGCAAACAUAGUCGCAUCGUGCGAUAGUGGUCGUAGCAUGCCUGUUAGCAGCCCAGUUAACGCCAGGUUCGCGCUUGGUUGUCUAUUGGUGUCUGUUAGCGGGUAGCUCGACGCAGUCCUUUUGUCGCACUGGUCCCGGGAGGCUCCUUUAAUGGAGUUGAACGGACACCGGUGGAGUGUGCCUUGAAUAAAGCAUAGUGCUCAAUGCAAGCGUACGCUCGUGUGUAAUAGCAUGGAACGAAUAUUUUUGACCGGUCAUUGGUCUGUGUACUUUUGCGUGCAUAUGUCAGUGACUCGGUUCGAUCAGUGUUGGUUGGAACCACGGUCUCAACGGUUAAAAGGGACAUCUGAGGGCACUAGUACUUUGUGGCGAGAGGUGAAAUUCUUAGACCCACAAAAGACUGACUAUUGCGAAAGCAUUUGCCAAGAGUGUUUUCAUUAAUCAAGAACGAAGGUCAGAGGAUCGAAGACGAUCAGAUACCGUCCUAGUUUUGACAGAAAACAAUGCCAGCAUAGGGUCGAGGCGGUCACUCGUUGAUAGCGAGUUGCACUACCGCGGUCCUUAGGGGAAACUUAGCUUUCGGGCUGCUGGGAGAAUAUUGCUGCAAGGCUGAAAUUUAAAGAAAUUGACGGAGAGGCACCACCAGGAGUGGAGCCUGCGGCUUAAUUUGACUCAACACGGGGAAACUCACCAGGUCCAGACAUUGGUAGGAUUGACAGAUUGGUAGAUCUUUCAUGAUUCGGUGAAUGGUGGUGCAUGGCCGUUCUUAGUUGGUGGAGUGAUCUGUCAGGUUUAUUCCGGUAACGAUCGAGACCACGGCCUUUAGUUGGUGGUUAGGUGCAUUGCAGUGUCAACUGGCGCUUGCAGCAUCUUUUGGCCUAACUAGAGGGACCAUCGGUGAAAAGCCGGAGGAAGCGUGGCAAUAACAGGUCUGUGAUGCCCUUCGAUGUCCUGGGCUGCACGCGCGCUACAAUGGCAGCAGUAGAGAGCAGGCUGGCCAGAGAUGGUUGGCAAAGCUGUAAAUAGCUGUCGUGACAGGGAUUGAGCCUUGUAAUUAUUGCUCAUGAAAGAGGAAUUCCUCGUAAGCACGAGUCAUCAACUUGUGUUGAAUAUGUCUCUGCCUCUUGUACACACCGCCCGUCGCUACUACCGAUUGAAUUGUUUCUAAAGCUGGCUGGACCGGACUGUCUCCGUUACUUGUAGCGGUGAAAGCUGGGAGGCCGA
This 1509-nucleotide ribosomal RNA is filed under the name Ceratomyxa sp. b AC-2020. RNAcentral describes it as "SSU rRNA". It matches the Rfam family "Eukaryotic small subunit ribosomal RNA", at positions 360 to 1758 of the family's 1831-position model. Lineage: Eukaryota; Metazoa; Cnidaria; Myxozoa; Bivalvulida; Ceratomyxidae. The record is from RNAcentral.